AAAACACAACUAAACUCAGUAGCAAAACUGCUGUACAAACCAGCGAAAAAUCCCAGCCGAACACCUCAGUUUUUAACUCCAAAAAAUCAUAAAAACACAGCUCGAAAACCAGCUGUAAAUUCGUCCAGAAACAGGCCCUAAACGACCAAAAUUCGCCACCUAAAAUAAGCCCAUAAAUGCAGCCAUUAAAGUUGUCUCCAAACCACCAAAUUCCAGCUCAAAUUUCCCCGAAAACGGAGUGAAAUCACCCCUCAAAACACACCAAAUGAAACUGAAAAGAGCCACCCAAUUUCAGUCAUGAAAAGCUGAAAAAUCAGCAAUGAAAACAGGCUAAAAAAGCCUCAGAAACAACUGAAAAAUGAGCAACAAACACCAUUACAACCGUGGUAGUUCCUCCUCAAAGUACGGUGCAAUUGACUUGGAGUCAAACUCGAGUUCGCGAUGAAGUUUUGCACCCCGGUCAUUGGUCAGGCCCCCACGCCUCUUUCGACUUUGGAUCCAAGAUGUAAUAUUCUCCAGAUUCAUCAAUAAAGGCCUGUUUAUUAUGUUUAUUUUUUCCCCAUUUCAUCUUACUUAUGAUUUUGAUUAGUUAUUGUUCUUUUAUGUUAGUUUGCUUUAGUAGUCUAUGUAUUUUUAUGAUACUACAUGAUUCUCUGCUAUGACUCUCUUUAGGAGCUACGUUUACCAUGCUUUGGUCAUUUGCCGUGGUAAUUGGACUGUUGAAUGAAUUAAUAUGUAUGAUAUGGUUUACAUUGUUUCUUUU
This 763-nucleotide long non-coding RNA is filed under the name Nicotiana benthamiana. RNAcentral describes it as "long non-coding RNA (NBEN_LNC018158)". The record is from RNAcentral. Lineage: Eukaryota; Viridiplantae; Streptophyta; Magnoliopsida; Solanales; Solanaceae.